GACGAACGCUGGCGGCGUGCUUAACACAUGCAAGUCGAACGGAAAGGCCCUGCUUUUGUGGGGUGCUCGAGUGGCGAACGGGUGAGUAACACGUGAGUAACCUGCCCUUGACUUUGGGAUAACUUCAGGAAACUGGGGCUAAUACCGGAUAGGAGCUCCUGCUGCGUGGGGGGGGUUGGAAAGUUUCGGCGGUUGGGGAUGGACUCGCGGCUUAUCAGCUUGUUGGUGGGGUAGUGGCUUACCAAGGCUUUGACGGGUAGCCGGCCUGAGAGGGUGACCGGCCACAUUGGGACUGAGAUACGGCCCAGACUCCUACGGGAGGCAGCAGUGGGGAAUAUUGCACAAUGGGCGGAAGCCUGAUGCAGCAACGCCGCGUGCGGGAUGACGGCCUUCGGGUUGUAAACCGCUUUCGCCUGUGACGAAGCGUGAGUGACGGUAAUGGGUAAAGAAGCACCGGCUAACUACGUG
This 468-nucleotide ribosomal RNA is filed under the name uncultured bacterium. RNAcentral's name for it is "partial 16S ribosomal RNA". It matches the Rfam family "Bacterial small subunit ribosomal RNA", at positions 28 to 507 of the family's 1533-position model. The record is from RNAcentral.